Molecule: ribosomal RNA, 393 nt
Filed under: uncultured marine eukaryote
Lineage: Eukaryota
Description: SSU rRNA
Rfam family: Eukaryotic small subunit ribosomal RNA
Source: RNAcentral
AACCUGGUUGAUCCUGCCAGUAGUCAUACGCUCGUCUCAAAGAUUAAGCCAUGCAUGUGUAAGUUCAAUGAUUUGACCAAAAAACUGCGAAUGGCUCAUUAUAUCAGUUAUAGUUUAUUUGAUAGUCCCUUACUACUUGGAUACCCGUAGUAAUUCUAGAGCUAAUACAUGCGUAAACACUCGACCUUUGGAAGAGUGGUAUUUAUUAGAUUGAAACCAACCCGUUUCGGCGGUGUCCUGGCGAUUCAUAAUAACUUUUCGGAUUGCAUUGCAACAUUUCAUUCAAGUUUCUGCCCUAUCAGCUUUGGCGGUAGUGUAUUGGACUACCGUGGCUUUAACGGGUAACGGAGGAUUAGGGUUUGAUUCCGGAGAGGGAGCCUGAGAGACGGCUAC